This 149-nucleotide transfer RNA is filed under the name Schistochila laminigera. Its description in RNAcentral is "partial tRNA-Phe". The record is from RNAcentral. Lineage: Eukaryota; Viridiplantae; Streptophyta; Jungermanniopsida; Jungermanniales; Schistochilaceae.
UUACUAAAUUACUAAUUUACUAAGUUAUUAUAAAAUAGGACAAUUGACACAAUUUUAAUUUUUAUGUUAGAAUUGCAUGAUAAUAUAACUGAAAGUUGCCGCCGGGAUAGCUCAGUUGGUAGAGCAGAGGACUGAUACAAUCCUCGUGU